GUUAAGGUGGCAGAGCUUGGCAAUUGCAUAAAACUUAAAACUUUACUACCAGAGGUUCAAUUCCUCUCCUUAACA
Molecule: transfer RNA, 75 nt
Filed under: Kannabateomys amblyonyx (Atlantic bamboo rat)
Lineage: Eukaryota; Metazoa; Chordata; Mammalia; Rodentia; Echimyidae
Description: tRNA-Leu
Rfam family: tRNA
About the family: Transfer RNA (tRNA) molecules are approximately 80 nucleotides in length. Their secondary structure includes four short double-helical elements and three loops (D, anti-codon, and T loops).
Source: RNAcentral